GAUGAACGCUAGCGGGAGGCUUAACACAUGCAAGUCGAGGGGCAGCAUAGGGUAGCAAUACUCUGAUGGCGACCGGCAAACGGGUGAGUAACGCGUAUGUAACCUACCCUGUACAGGGGGAUAACCCGGAGAAAUUCGGACUAAUAUCCCAUAACAAUAUCCGGGGGCAUCUUUGGAUAUUUAAAGUUCCGGCGGUACGGGAUGGGCAUGCGUAACAUUAGCUAGUUGGUAAGGUAACGGCUUACCAAGGCUUUGAUGUUUAGGGGUCCUGAGAGGGUGGUCCCCCACACUGGUACUGAGACACGGACCAGACUCCUACGGGAGGCAGCAGUGAGGAAUAUUGGUCAAUGGGCGCAAGCCUGAACCAGCCAUCCCGCGUGCAGGAAGACGGCGCUAUGCGUUGUAAACUGCUUUUCCAGGGAGAGAAACUUGCGCACGUGUUGCGCAAUUGACGGUACCCUGGGAAUAAGCAUCGGCUAACUCCGUGCCAGCAGCCGCGGUAAACUAGU
Molecule: ribosomal RNA, 509 nt
Filed under: uncultured bacterium
Lineage: Bacteria
Description: bacterial SSU rRNA
Rfam family: Bacterial small subunit ribosomal RNA
Source: RNAcentral